GAGAGUGGGUUAGUCCGCACGAGCGCAACCUCACUUUUAGUUGCCAUCAUUAAGUUGGGCACUCUGAAAGAACUGCCAGUGAUAAGCUGGAGGAAGGUGGGGAUGACGUCAAGUCCUCAUGGCCCUUACGUGUUGGGCUACACACGUGCUACAAUGGCAUCUACAACAGGAAGCAAAACGGCAACGUUAAGCAAAUCCCGAAAAGAUGCCUCAGUUCGGAUUGCACUCUGCGACUCGAGUGCAUGAAGCUGGAAUUACUAGUAAUCGUAGAUCAGCGUGCUACGGUGAAUGCGUUCCCGGGUCUUGUACACACCGCCCGUCACACCAUGGGAGUUGGUUCUACCUUAAGGCAAGGUUUCAAACCCUUGACCACGGUAUAGUCAGCGACUGGGGUGAAGUCGUAACAAGGUAGCCGUAGGGGAACCUGCGGCUGGAUUACCUCCUUUCU
Molecule: ribosomal RNA, 448 nt
Filed under: uncultured Pelagibacterales bacterium
Lineage: Bacteria; Pseudomonadati; Pseudomonadota; Alphaproteobacteria; Candidatus Pelagibacterales
Description: bacterial SSU rRNA
Rfam family: Bacterial small subunit ribosomal RNA
Source: RNAcentral